CUUAUAUGACGUCAACAAUGACGGCUUCAUCACUGAGGACGAGAUGCGACUGGUGGUGAGCGCCAUCUACCGACUGAUCGACACGACGCAGGCCGACCACGUCUCUCCCGACGAGAGAGGACAGGAUCUGUUCUCGAGGAUCGACACAAACCAUGAUGGUAUUAUAACCCUGGAAGAAUUUACUACUUAUUGCUCAAAGGAUGUCACGAUUCUGUCGGGGCUCAACAUGUACAACUUGAUGUGGGAGACAUGAAUUCCCAAAAUAUCACGUCAUGAAGACUGGCACCCAUCGUCUGGACGUCAGUAUGACGUGUAUCGAACGUCAGUGUAACGUCAGGUGACGUGCAGUUCAAGUUUCUUGAGCAUUUUCUCCGCGGUCGUUAGACGUUUGUGGAACAUUGACGUUAGGUAGAACUUCAAUGCUUGUCUUCAGCAGGCAACAUCACAGUUUAAUGCUGUAGGGGAUGGUCUGGAUGGAUGUCAGUUGGCACUUUUCGCUGCAGUUACGCGUGGACUGGACGUCAGUUAGACGUCAGGUGAGCUUGAGCUGGAUGCCAAUCAUGGAGUUAGUUUUACGUGAGCUGGACGUGAGCCUCAUGCGGUUUUAUGUACGUGAUAAUGGGAUAAACGUGAGAUGGACGUGAGUUGCAUACGUGAGAGAUAACACAUCAAGUGAAUGUAAGAAUGUCACUCUAGACGAUCCACAAAGGGCAAGUUGAGGAACGAAUCUCAACAUUUCACUAAGGCUGAUCGGCUCCGCGGGUUAAUGCUGCUUUGUGUGAGUCUGCGACUGAGCGAGUCAACUGUUUACCGAUUCUUUAGGACGUCAAUGCCAGUAAUCGGCCUACGGCCAGAGCUGGCUAAAUCCAUCACCUGCAUAAUGUUUGAGUCCCGUUUAUCCAGGAAUUGUUUUAAGUCUUUACAUACGACCGGCGCAAGUGACCGCGCUAGUUAUACAUAGUGGCGUUGAUGCAGUCGAUGCUGCACGCUACCGUGCGACUCAAUUAGUGAUGAAAAGCAGCCGAGUUGGUCGACAUUUCGAAAUGAGUGAUUAUUUCAUGUGUGAAAUAAAAGUUCAUAAAAUGUUUCAAAAUCGCAUGCAGUGAUAAGUAAAAUAUACGUAUUCGUAAC
Molecule: long non-coding RNA, 1131 nt
Organism: Amphibalanus amphitrite
Lineage: Eukaryota; Metazoa; Arthropoda; Thecostraca; Balanomorpha; Balanidae
Exons: 3
Source: RefSeq, a predicted model, not a curated record